CCAUGCCGCGUGUGUGAAGAAGGCCUUCGGGUUGUAAAGCACUUUCGGACGGAACGAAAUCGCGCGGGUUAACAGCCCGCGUGGAUGACGGUACCGUAAGAAGAAGCACCGGCUAACUACGUGCCAGCAGCCGCGGUAAUACGUAGGGUGCGAGCGUUAAUCGGAAUUACUGGGCGUAAAGGGUGCGCAGGCGGCCCCGCAAGUCAGGCGUGAAAUCCCCGGGCUCAACUUGGGAAUGGCGCUUGAAACUACGGGGCUGGAGUGUGGCAGAGGGAGGUGGAAUUCCACGUGUAGCGGUGAAAUGCGUAGAGAUGUGGAGGAACACCGAUGGCGAAGGCAGCCUCCUGGGCCAACACUGACGCUCAUGCACGAAAGCGUGGGGAGCAAACAGGAUUAGAUACCCUGGUAGUCCACGCCCUAAACGAUGACGACUAGUUGUUGGGAGAGUUAAAUCUCUUAGUAACGCAGCUAACGCGCGAAGUCGUCCGCCUGGGGAGUACGGUCGCAAGAUUA
This 513-nucleotide ribosomal RNA is filed under the name uncultured Pseudomonadota bacterium. Its description in RNAcentral is "bacterial SSU rRNA". It matches the Rfam family "Bacterial small subunit ribosomal RNA", at positions 392 to 896 of the family's 1533-position model. Lineage: Bacteria; Pseudomonadati; Pseudomonadota. The record is from RNAcentral.